GACUCGGACUCAUGCGAUCGUAACGCCCAAAUCUUGUCAGGAUCGGAAGAUAGCAGCAAUACGGGACGCUUAUGAUAGGCGUGAAAUCCGGGUCUCC
This 97-nucleotide signal recognition particle RNA is filed under the name Chlorogloea purpurea SAG 13.99. RNAcentral describes it as "signal recognition particle sRNA small type". It matches the Rfam family "Bacterial small signal recognition particle RNA". From Rfam's summary of the family: The signal recognition particle (SRP) is a universally conserved ribonucleoprotein involved in the co-translational targeting of proteins to membranes. Archaeal SRP consists of a 7S RNA and homologues of the eukaryotic SRP19 and SRP54 proteins. The record is from RNAcentral. Lineage: Bacteria; Bacillati; Cyanobacteriota; Cyanophyceae; Chroococcales; Entophysalidaceae.